GACGAACGCUGGCGGCGUGCUUAACACAUGCAAGUCGAACGGAAAGGCCCUGCUUUUGUGGGGUGCUCGAGUGGCGAACGGGUGAGUAACAAGUGAGUAACCUGCCCUUGACUUUGGGAUAACUUCAGGAAACUGGGGCUAAUACCGGAUAGGAGCUCCUGCUGCAUGGUGGGGGUUGGAAAGUUUCGGCGGUUGGGGAUGGACUCGCGGCUUAUCAGCUUGUUGGUGGGGUAGUGGCUUACCAAGGCUUUGACGGGUAGCCGGCCUGAGAGGGUGACCGGCCACAUUGGGACUGAGAUACGGCCCAGACUCCUACGGGAGGCAGCAGUGGGGAAUAUUGCACAAUGGGCGGAAGCCGGAUGCAGCAACGCCGCGUGCGGGAUGACGGCCUUCGGGUUGUAAACCGCUUUCGCCUGUGACGAAGCGUGAGUGACGGUAAUGGGUAAAGAAGCACCGGCUAACUACGUG
RNAcentral lists this ribosomal RNA (468 nucleotides) under uncultured bacterium. RNAcentral's name for it is "partial 16S ribosomal RNA". It matches the Rfam family "Bacterial small subunit ribosomal RNA", at positions 28 to 507 of the family's 1533-position model. The record is from RNAcentral.